This is a non-coding RNA of Hyaloscypha hepaticicola, 144 nucleotides long. Lineage: Eukaryota; Fungi; Ascomycota; Leotiomycetes; Helotiales; Hyaloscyphaceae. The record is from the annotation of a GenBank genome assembly.
GCUCCAAUGGCGCAAUGGUAGCGCGCGAGAGUGAGUAACCUUGUCAUGUUGCCGUGAAACACAUAACUAACGAUUUUCAAGCUUCUAUCUACACUUCACUGAGAAGUCAUCUCGAGGCUGUGGGUUCGAGUCCCACUUGGAGUG